This 2811-nucleotide ribosomal RNA is filed under the name Triticum aestivum (bread wheat). Its description in RNAcentral is "partial small subunit ribosomal RNA". Lineage: Eukaryota; Viridiplantae; Streptophyta; Magnoliopsida; Poales; Poaceae. The record is from RNAcentral.
AUGGUUAGAAGAAAGAAAAAGCAGCAGCCUCCUAGUACAUGCAUGGCUGCUGAACCCUCGGUCCCGUCCGGCUUCGGCACCAGGCCAUGGCUAGUGCAGGCAACGGGAGGAGAGCGGCAGACGUUCGUCGACUCGUUGGACGGGAGCUUGCACUCCACGAUCGUUCCCGAGAUGCAAGGCAACCCUCAUACCUCAUAUCUGUUCCACCACUGUUUCCCAAUCCGGCGCUUCGGCAGUCUGCUCCCCCUCCUCCCAUUUCCCUCCCCUUUGCUGUGGUGGCAGCGAUGGACCGCUCCCGUGCAUCCUCAAGUGAGGCGAUCUCCGGGCAGAAGCGGGGCCGUGGUGGAUCUAGCGAUGUGGAUGCGGAUCUGGAGUACGAGGCGGCUCUCCGCGCGAAGCUUCAUGCCUCGAUCGCUCCGGAGGCGGGGUCGGCAGCGGCGUCCGUUGGUGUGUCUCCUCGUGCUUCCGGGUCGGGCCCGUCGGCGCCCCCUCUCCCUGCUUCUGGUGCUCCUUCGGCGGCGGCCGAUCCCUAGGAGGUGGCGGCGGCGGCCAGUCGGGAGGGUUCGUCGGGGCCCGCUCUGGCGCCCCCUCCGAUGGGUGCUACUCCCCGGGGCGGCGCUCCGGUGCGGGCUCAGGCUGGGGGCGGGCCGUCCCGCUUCUUCCCUAGAGGCGCGUCGGGGGCUCCGGCCCGGCGUCCCGUCGGCCCCGUGGCGGGGCGGGGCUUCGGCUCUGGGCCUGCUGCGGCUGGGGAUGAAAUCCUCCCUCCUCCUCCUCGUGGUCGCAUCCCUCCCCAAUCCCAAGUCUUCAACCCCAUCCUCACUUGCUUUGCGUGUCAUCGACCUGGCCACUUCCAAUUGCGGUGUGAAAACCCUCCCUUCUGCCUCAUCUGCCGGGAAGGCGGCCACCUUACGGUGGACUGUCAGAAUCGUGUCAAGCCUCCUUCGUUUGUUCAUUAUGGCAUCGGUCUUCCUGGAUGCUCUUUCUUCGCUCUUGAUAGGGAGAUCCCUGAGGCUGCCCCCAUUCCUUCCCUGUCCAAUGUUGGCAUUAUCUCCGUCCAGGAUAAACGCAUCUCUCCUUAGAUCCUUCUCGAUGGGCUUAAGUUAUGGGACGAGGGUGGAUGGGAUUGGCAGAUCCGCCAACUCUCCGAGUUCGAUAAAAGCGGCCUCUAAUGGAUCCAAGUCUAUCUCUUCCUUGUCUGAUGUGUGGGUGCUGGUAGAAGAUGUCCUUCCGAGCAUGCGUACCACGGCUUUCCUGAUGGCCUUUGGAGUUUUUAUUGGCAAACCCAUUGAUGUUGACCAAGAAUCUUUGGCGAUCCUGGGGCCGGCCCGGCUCUGGGUUUGGCUUGAGUCCCCGAAGAUCACUGCCCCAUGCCUUAUGAUCGGCUAUAGAGGGAAGAUCUACUCUUUCGGUUAUACGGAGCAUUACACGCUCGCCACCGACAACCUUGCCUCCGACACGCUCACCGUGAUAGGCGACGACGACGACCACGGCACGGUCCAAGCACGACUUGUCGGCACUCUCGUUGGCGCCAAAGAGAGCGUCGCCGUGUACCGUCUAGAUCUCGAGUCCCUUACCUGGACGAGGGUGGACAGCAUCGGCGGAGACCGCGCCUUCCUCAUCUCUGGUCUCUACGGCUUCUCCGUGCCCGUCCGUCCAGGGGCAGGGGGGUUGAUUCCGCAGGGCAACUGUGUGUACUUCGUGCUGUCGGGCUGCGACUGUGAGAGGUUAUACAAGUUCUGCUUGGACGACAACACCACCAGCUUCCAUCAGAUCCUUCCGCAACCUACCGAGCAGCCAUUCUGGACUGUUCAGGCAAACUCUUGGAAUACACGGCCGUGGCAUGAUCUGCCACUAGAAUUGCUGGAGCCGGUUGUCUCAAGGCUUUCUUUGGUGGAUCGUCUCCGAUUCCCGGCAGUGUGUAAGUCAUGGAGCCUUGUGACUAACCCGGUUGAGCAAGCCAUUGUGUGGCCUUGGCUCCUGCACAGCUCCGGCCGAGAUGGGGCGUGCAAGCUGUUCGACCCUCUGCGCAGCCAGGAGUACAACAUGCAUGUUGAAACAUUUGACAUCAACCAAGACGAACACGACGAGCAUAUUUUCCGAUUCUCCAAAGGCGGAUGGGUGGCCAUGUCGACCAACGCAGACAUCCAAGACAUGUACAUCAUAAACCCGUUCACUGAGGAGGUCGUGGAAAUGGUCAUGCUCGAUUGGGAGGACAACUACAUGGGCUUGUCGUGGUCCUCGAUGGACCCAAAAUCUCCGGACUGCAUUUUCUUCGCCGUGAAUAGCAGACAGGAUGGCAAAGCGGUCGGCGCCCUUACGUGGCGGCAUGGGGAGGCCGAGUGGUUUGAACGACAUCUCGAGUACUAUGAAGGGGAUCCAUUCCCAGUGGCAUACAACAACCCUGUCUUGUUCCACGACAACGACACAUGGACGAUCUUGGAGAAGUCUAACCCGAUUCAUGUGGAGAUGGACCUCGAAGGUGACCACCACGAGGGGAGAGAGUUUUGCUACCUGGUUGAGCUGCGAGGGGAGCUGGUCUCCGUGUUCAUGCGUAACGCCGACCAGCCACCGCGGGUGUUCAAGCUCAACGAGGAGGAGAUGGCCUGGAUGAAGGUGCAAGAGAUCGGCGGCGCGGCCUUGUUUCUUGAUUUCAGGGUGUCAUACUCCGUGGCAUCACCGGAAGCUGGGCAUGGCAAUAGGAUCUACUUCCCUAGUUAUUCGGAGGAUGGCAAACAAGCGGCGUUCUAUGAUAUGGAGACCAAGGCAUACCACCCAUCCUUCUAUGGUUUGAAGUCACCGUUGCAAUGUUAA